GCCUUCUUGGUGUAGUGGUGAGCACGCUCGGCACGUAUUCGAGAGGUCCGUGGUUCGAGUCUCGGCGAGGGCA
Molecule: non-coding RNA, 73 nt
Organism: Stegodyphus mimosarum
Lineage: Eukaryota; Metazoa; Arthropoda; Arachnida; Araneae; Eresidae
Source: Rfam